RNAcentral lists this ribosomal RNA (189 nucleotides) under uncultured Rhodoferax sp. Its description in RNAcentral is "partial 16S ribosomal RNA". It matches the Rfam family "Bacterial small subunit ribosomal RNA", at positions 30 to 219 of the family's 1533-position model. The record is from RNAcentral. Lineage: Bacteria; Pseudomonadati; Pseudomonadota; Betaproteobacteria; Burkholderiales; Comamonadaceae.
AUUGAACGCUGGCGGCAUGCCUUACACAUGCAAGUCGAACGGCAGCACGGGAGCAAUCCUGGUGGCGAGUGGCGAACGGGUGAGUAAUAUAUCGGAACGUGCCCAGUCGUGGGGGAUAACGCAGCGAAAGCUGUGCUAAUACCGCAUACGAUCUCUGGAUGAAAGCGGGGGACCGCAAGGCCUCGCGCG